This 74-nucleotide transfer RNA is filed under the name Armatimonadota bacterium. RNAcentral describes it as "Armatimonadetes bacterium (soil metagenome) tRNA-Met". It matches the Rfam family "tRNA". From Rfam's summary of the family: Transfer RNA (tRNA) molecules are approximately 80 nucleotides in length. Their secondary structure includes four short double-helical elements and three loops (D, anti-codon, and T loops). The record is from RNAcentral. Lineage: Bacteria; Bacillati; Armatimonadota.
CGCGGGAUGGCGCAGUCAGGUAGCGCGGCGGGCUCAUGCCCCGCAGGUCAUCGGUUCGAAUCCGUUUCCCGCCA